GUGUGUGUGUGUGUGUGUGUAUUAUGCAUCAACAUUUUUGGUGGAAGUGUUGAUAGCAUUUGAGUAAUUAAUACAUUAGACAACAUGAUAUUGGGAAAUGGAUAUCUUGAUACUACAUGACCCAUGUUCUUUAUUAUUUAGUGAUUUAACUAACAAACCCUUACCCUGCUUAAGUUGUAAAGGGAGGGACUAAGAGAAAUAUUAUAAG
Molecule: unclassified non-coding RNA, 208 nt
Filed under: Hevea brasiliensis (rubber tree)
Lineage: Eukaryota; Viridiplantae; Streptophyta; Magnoliopsida; Malpighiales; Euphorbiaceae
Source: RNAcentral